This 257-nucleotide long non-coding RNA is filed under the name Volvox carteri. Its description in RNAcentral is "long non-coding RNA (VCAR_LNC000041)". Lineage: Eukaryota; Viridiplantae; Chlorophyta; Chlorophyceae; Chlamydomonadales; Volvocaceae. The record is from RNAcentral.
CUCUGUCUCAAUCGCCGGGGUCUCCUCUUAAGUUCCCAUUCGGUGAAUGCAGUUCUCCUUCUCUGAUGUCUGUCGAUCCGAUCACCGUACACAACUUUUCUUUCGAUCCGCCCAAUAAAUAGCGCAACCCCUCCACCUUUUGUCCUAUUGACCUACCGGGGCCCCUCUGACGGGCUGUACAAACAGUGUUAUCGCGUCCGCCACUCCUUCCGGGGGCGUGUGACGCCACCGGCAUUCUCGGCCUUCCGCAAGCAGUG